UUCUAUGUUGUUCUGUUCUAUUCUGUUCUAUUCUCUUUUGUUCUGUUCUAUUCUGUUCGGUUCUAUUUUGUUGUUCUAUUCUAUUCCGUUCUAUUCUAUCCAGUUUUCUAUUGGCCCAUGGAGAGACCAGUUGAGCAAACCCACAGCUUUUCCCCAAUCAUUUCGGGGUCUCUCGCUGUGACAUGACACGAGUUGGGACGCGAUGCAGAGUUGUAGAUGCAGAGUUGUAGAUGUAGAGUUGUAGAUGUAGAGAUGCAGAGUUGUAGAUGUAGAGUUGCAGAGUUGUAGAUGCAGAGAUGCAGAGUUGUAGAUGUAGAGUUGUAGAGUUGUAGAUGCAGAGUUGUAGAUGUAGAGAUGUAGAUGCAGAGAUGUAGAUGCAGAGAUGUAGAGAUGUAGAGAGUUGUAGAUGUAGAGAUAGAGUUGUAGAUGUAGAGUUGUAGAUGUAGAGAUAUAGAGUUGUAGAUGCAGAGUUGUAGAGUUGUAGAUGUAGAGAUGCAGAGUUGUAGAGUUGUAGAUGCAGAGUUGUAGAUGCAGAGAUGUAGAUGCAGAGAUGUAGAUGCAGAGAUGUAGAGAUGUAGAGAGUUGUAGAUGUAGAGUUGUAGAUGUAGAGAUAGAGUUGUAGAGUUGUAGAUGUAGAGAUAUAGAGUUGUAGAUGUAGAGUUGUAGAUGCAGAGUUGUAGAGUUGUAGAUGCAGAGUUUUAGAGUUGUAGAUGUAGAGAUGCAGAGUUGUAGAUGCAGAGUUGUAGAGUUGUAGAUGCAGAGUUGUAGAUGUAGAGUUGUAGAUGCAGAGAUGUAGAUGCAGAGUUGUAGAGAGUUGUAGAUGUAGAGAUAGAGUUGUAGAUGUAGAGAUAUAGAGUUGUAGAUGUAGAGUUGUAGAUGCAGAGUUGUAGAUGCAGAGUUGUAGAGAUGUAGAUGUAGAGUUCUAGAUGUAGAGUUGUAGAUGUAGAGAUAUAGAGAGUUGUAGAUGUAGAGUUGUAGAGAUGUAGACUUGUAGAUGUAGAGUUGUAGAGAGUAGAGAUAUAGAGUUGUAGAUGUAGAGAUAUAGAGUUGUAGAUGUAGAGUUGUAGAUGCAGAGUUGUAGAGUUGUAGAUGCAGAGUUGUAGAGUUGUAGUUGUAGAGUUGUAGAUGCAGAGUUGUAGAUGCAGAGAUGUAGAUGCAGAGAUGUAGAUGCAGAGAGUUGUAGAUGUAGAGAUAGAGUUGUAGAUGUAGAGUUGUAGAUGUAGAGAUAUAGAGUUGUAGAUGUAGAGUUGUAGAUGCAGAGUUGUAGAGUUGUAGAUGUAGAGAUGCAGAGUUGUAGAUGUAGAGAUGUAGAGUUGUAGAUGUAGAGUUGUAGAUGUAGAGUUGUAGAUGUAGAGUUGUAGAGAGUUGUAGAUGUAGAGUUGUAGAUGUAGAGAGUUUUAGAUCUAGAGAGUUGUAGAUGCAGAUGCAGAGAUGUAGAUGCAGAGAUGUAGAUGCAGAGGUAGAGAUGUAGAGUUGUAGAGAGUUGUAGAUGUAGAGAUGUAGAGUUGUAGAUGUAGAGAUGUAGAGAGUUGUAGAUGUAGAGUUGUAGAUGUAGAGAGUUGUAGAUGUAGAGAUGUAGAUGCAGAGUUGUAGAUGCAGAGUUGUAGAUGCAGAGAUGUAGAGUGUUGUAGAGUUGUAGAUGUAGAGAGUUGUAGAUGUAGAGAUGUAGAUGCAGAGUUGUAGAUGUAGAGUUGUAGAUGUAGAGAUAGAGUUGUAGAUGUAGAGUUGUAGAUGUAGAGAUAUAGAGUUGUAGAUGCAGAGUUGUAGAGUUGUAGAUGUAGAGAUGCAGAGUUGUAGAUGUAGAGAUGUAGAUGCAGAGAUGUAGAUGCAGAGUUGUAGAGAGUUGUAGAUGUAGAGUUGUAGAUGUAGAGAUAGAGUUGUAGAUGUAGAGAUAUAGAGUUGUAGAUGUAGAGUUGUUGAUGCAGAGUUGUAGAGAUGCAGAGUUGUAGAUGCAGAGUUGUAGAGUUGAAGAUGCAGAGUUGUAGAUGUAGAGAUGUAGAUGUAGAGUUGUAGAGUUGAAGAUGCAGAGUUGUAGAUGUAGAGAUGUAGAUGUAGAGUUGUAGAGAGUUGUAGAUGUAGAGAUGUAGAGUUGUAGAUGUAGAGAUGUAGAGUUGUAGAGAGUUGUAGAUGUAGUGAUGUAGAGAGUUGUAGAUGUAGAGAGUUGUAGAUGUAGAGUUGUAGAGAGUUGUAGAUGUAGAGUUGUAGAUGUAGAGAGUUGUAGAUGCAGAGAGUUGUAGAUGCAGAGUUUUGUAGAUGUAGAGAUGUAGAUGCAGAGUUGUAGAUGCAGAGUUGUAGAUGCAGAGUUGUAGAUGUAGAGUUGUAGAUGUAGAGAUAGAGUUGUAGAUGUAGAGAUAUAGAGUUGUAGAUGUAGAGAUGUAGAUGUAGAGUUGUAGAGAGUUGUAGAUGUAGAGAUGUAGAGUUGUAGAUGCAGAGUUGUAGAUGUAGAGAUGCAGAUGCAGAGUUGUAGAUGCAGAGAUGUAGAUGCAGAGAUGUAGAUGCAGUGUUGUAGAGAGUUGUAGAUGUAGAGAUGUAGAGUUGUAGAGAGUUGUAGAUGUAGAGUUGUAGAGUUGUAGAUGUAGAGAUGUAGAUAGAGUUUUGUAGAUGUAGAGAUGUAGAGUUGUAGAUGUAGAGAUGUAGAGUUGUAGAGAGUUGUAGAUGUAGUGAUGUAGAGAGUUGUAGAUGUAGAGAGUUGUAGAUGUAGAGUUGUAGAGAGUUGUAGAGUUGUAGAUUUGUAGAUGUAGAGUUGUAGAUGUAGAGAGUUGUAGAUGUAGAGUUGUAGAUGUAGAGUUGUAGAUGUAGAGAGUUGUAGAUGCAGAGUUGUAGAUGUAGAGUUGUAGAUGCAGAGUUGUAGAUGUAGAGUUGUAGAUGCAGAGAUGUAGAGUUGUAGAUGCAGAGUUGUAGAUGUAGAGAUGCAGAUGCAGAGUUGUAGA
Molecule: long non-coding RNA, 2930 nt
Organism: Gasterosteus aculeatus aculeatus (three-spined stickleback)
Lineage: Eukaryota; Metazoa; Chordata; Actinopteri; Perciformes; Gasterosteidae
Source: Ensembl